Molecule: non-coding RNA, 136 nt
Organism: Hordeum vulgare subsp. vulgare (domesticated barley)
Lineage: Eukaryota; Viridiplantae; Streptophyta; Magnoliopsida; Poales; Poaceae
Source: Rfam
AAAAUACUCCAUCCGUUCUAAAUUUUUUGUCUUAUAUUUAUUUAGAUAUGAAAGUAUCUAGUCACGCUUUAGUAUUUAGAUAUAUUUAUUUUGAGACAAAAUUAAGACAAUAAUUUUGGGACGAAGGGAGUACUUG